AGCGUAGACGGUGUGGCAAGUCUGAUGUGAAAGGCAUGGGCUCAACCUGUGGACUGCAUUGGAAACUGUCAUACUUGAGUGCUGGAGGGGUAAGCGGAAUUCCUAGUGUAGCGGUGAAAUGCGUAGAUAUUAGGAGGAACACCAGUGGCGAAGGCGGCUUACUGGACGGUAACUGACGUUGAGGCUCGAAAGCUGGGAGCAAACA
Molecule: ribosomal RNA, 205 nt
Filed under: uncultured bacterium
Lineage: Bacteria
Description: partial 16S ribosomal RNA
Rfam family: Bacterial small subunit ribosomal RNA
Source: RNAcentral